This 254-nucleotide ribosomal RNA is filed under the name uncultured bacterium. RNAcentral's name for it is "partial 16S ribosomal RNA". It matches the Rfam family "Bacterial small subunit ribosomal RNA", at positions 524 to 776 of the family's 1533-position model. The record is from RNAcentral.
UACGUAGGGUGCGAGCGUUGUCCGGAAUUAUUGGGCGUAAAGAGCUUGUAGGCGGUUUGUCGCGUCUGCUGUGAAAUCUCAAGGCUCAACCUUGAGCUUGCAGUGGGGUACGGGCAGACUAGAGUGUGGUAGGGGAGACUGGAAUUCCUGGUGUAGCGGUGAAAUGCGCAGAUAUCAGGAGGAACACCGAUGGCGAAGGCGGCUCACUGGACCAUAACUGACGCUGAUGCACGAAAGCUAGGGGAGCAAACAGG